GGGCCCGCACAAGCGGUGGAGCAUGUGGUUUAAUUCGACGCAACGCGAAGAACCUUACCAGGUCUUGACAUCCUAGAAACUUAGCAGAGAUGCUUUGGUGCCUUCGGGAAUCUAGUGACAGGUGCUGCAUGGCUGUCGUCAGCUCGUGUCGUGAGAUGUUGGGUUAAGUCCCGUAACGAGCGCAACCCUUGUCCUUAGUUGCCAGCACAUUAUGGUGGGAACUCUAAGGAGACUGCCGGUGACAAACCGGAGGAAGGUGGGGACGACGUCCAAGUCAUCAUGGCCUUAGACCUGGGCUACACACGUGCUACAAUGGCCAGUACAGAGGGCUGCAAACCCGUGAGGGG
This 347-nucleotide ribosomal RNA is filed under the name uncultured bacterium. Its description in RNAcentral is "bacterial SSU rRNA". It matches the Rfam family "Bacterial small subunit ribosomal RNA", at positions 917 to 1264 of the family's 1533-position model. The record is from RNAcentral.